RNAcentral lists this long non-coding RNA (5466 nucleotides) under Heterocephalus glaber (naked mole-rat). RNAcentral describes it as "lncRNA (ENSHGLG00000043273.1)". Lineage: Eukaryota; Metazoa; Chordata; Mammalia; Rodentia; Bathyergidae. The record is from RNAcentral.
AUGGUUCUGGAGGUGGCACUCCUCUCUUCUGACUUUUUUUCCUCUUUUGGAUGAGCUUUGGGUUUGUCCUGCUCUUCUUUUUCUAGAAUCUUGAGCUUCAGCAAUAGGUUGUUUAUUUGAGCUCAUUAUGUUUUUCCUAGUAUGAGUAUUCACUGCUAUGAAUUUCUCUUAUAAGACUGCUUUCAUUCUGUCCCAUAGAUUAAGAUAUGUUGUAUUGGCUUUUUCAUUUAAUUGUGGAAAUUAUCUUAUUUCUUCUUUAAUUUCCAUUGUGACCCAUUGGUUAUUCAAAAGUGUGUUGUUCAAUUUCCAUGUAUUUAUGAAAUUCUUGUGGUUUCUUUUGCUAUUAAUCUCCAAUUUCAUUGCACUAUGGUCUAAUAAUACAGAGGAGAUAACGUCAAUUCCUUUGCACUUACUACAAUAUGCUCUAUACUGUAGUACAUGGUCUAUUUUGGAGAACAACCCAUGUGCAGCCAAAGGGAAUACGUGUUCUGAUUUUGUGGGGUGUCACACUCUGUAAACAUCUGUUAAGUCCAUUUCUUCAAGAGUUUGAUUUAUAGUAUUUCAAUGUUUAUUUUUUGUCUAGUUGAUCUAUCUGUUUGUGACACUGGGGUAUUGAGGUCCCAACUAUGAUUGUAUUAGUGCUUAUUUGAUUUUUCAUGUCUGUUACUAUUUGUUUUAUAUAAUUGGCCACACUAUUGUUUGGUGCAUAUAUAUUUAUGAUUGUCAUCUCUCCCUCUUGGAUUGUUCCCUUUACAAGCAUUUAGUGUCCUUUGUCUCUCUUAAUUAGUGUUGGUUUGAAAUCCAUUUGAUCUGCAAAGAGGAUAGCUACUUUUGUUUUCUUUUGGGUUACUGUCACAUGAAGUAUUGUUCUGCACCCUUUAACUUUCAGUCUAUGAGUUUCUUUUUGGAUUAAGUGUGUUUCUUGUAUGCAGCGUAUUGUUGCAUCUUGCUUCUUGACCCAUUGUGCCAGUCUGUUUCUUUUGAUUGGUGAAUUGAGACCAUUACCAUUGAUGGUUGUAAUUGAUAUGUAUUACUUAUCCUUGUCAUGAAUUUUCUCUUUGUUGGCUAAUUCUUGCAUUUAAUUCUGUAUGGUGCCUGAUAUAUUCAUUCUGCUGGGCUUCCUGGGGUUGUGAUCCUCAUUGUCUUUUCCUAGGAUAUUGUUUAAGGUUUUUUUUGAGUACUGGUUAGGUAUUCAUGAAGUUCCUCAGGUGUUCUUUGUCAUGAAAGUAUCUUAUUUCUCCAUCAGUUUGAAAGAUUGUUUUGCAAGGUACAUCAAUCUGGCUUGAAGGUUUUUUUUUUAGGGCUUGAAAUGUUUCACUUAAGGCUCUUCUUGCCUUAAGGGUUUGUGUUGAAAAAUCUGUUGUGAUUCUGAUGGGCUUUCCUUUGUAUGUGAUUUGUCUCUUUUCUCUAACUGCUUGUAGAAUUUUGUUCUACUGUUGGGUUUCUGGAAUCUAAGCUAUUUUUUUUUUUUUUUUUUUUGGUACUGGGGAUCAAAAUUGGGACUUUGUGCUUGCAAGGCAGGUGGUGGAACCACUGAGCCAAAUCCCCAGCCCUGAUGGAAUCUUAACUAUUAUGUGCCUACAUAUAGAUUUUUUUUAUCAUGACUAGUUGGAGUUCCAUAUGCCUUGCUGAUCUGUAUGUCAAAUACUUUUCUCCUGCUUGGGAAGUUUUCUGCCAUCACUUCUGUGAAGUUUUUUUCUGUUGUUUGCACUCUCUCCUUUUUUACAUUGACUCCUAUGAGUCAUAUCAUUCUUGUUUGCAUCAUCUAGCAGCUGCUGGAUUGAUUACUCAUGGUCUCUUACUUUUUUUAAGAAAUUUUUUUCCUGGUCACUAAUUGCAAUUUUAUCUUUUGUUUGUUUGUUUUUAAGAGUAAGAAAAAUUUAUUCAGCAAAAGAAACCAUCUGUCUAAGAGAGACAGAAGGGGGACUGGAAAGUAGGUUGCCCACCCACCCCACUUUUCAGUGAUGUUUUAUACAGCAAAGCCAGGUGGAGAAGCAGGUUUAAAGUGGGACAAAAUGAUAAGACCAAUGGAAAUUUACAAGGUGGGCAUGAGGUGGGACAAAGCCAUGACCAACCAGUAAGAUUACAAGUACAGUCACUAGGUAAUAAUGACUAAAUGGGGGCCAAAAGGGGGAGAAAAUCAUGCAGCAAGCAUACAAGGAUUUUCAGUAAGGGUGGGUCAGGGAUAUUUCCCAGAGAGUGUGGGUUAAGACCUUGCCCCCCACCUAGGUGAUUGAUACCUAUUUAGAAUAUCAAUCACUGCUAUUCAUCCUACAUGGAUGUGGUAGUUUCUCUCCUUUUACAGUCCUGGCCUUCAGUGAAUGUGUCUUCACUGUCUUCCAUGUUGGCUCCUUAUGGGCUGUUCCUGUCUAACUCUCUACAGGAUAUCUAAUUAACUUGCCUAUCUACAAUACUCCCCCCUCUGAAACUGUGAGGGGGCAAGGGCAAAGACCAUUCUGGCUACUUCCAGCUGAAGAGGGUUGUAUUUGUGGUCAGCAGUCAGAGUUACUCUACACAGGUUUAGUCAUAACAAUCAUGUUUAGAGAAGGAAGCGUUGCUAGCAAACCAAGAUAUUUAAACCACUGUUUUUUAGUUCUUUGAAAGAGAGAGAGGAAAAUAGAUUAACAGUCAAAUUAGGGCAUUUUUUCUCCAAAAGAGAUCACUUCCAGAGAUGGUAGGUCAGAAAUUCUGCCUUGGGCUCCAGGGCAGAGAAAGCUCUGAGAAAUUUCUGUUGUCUAUCCAGUCAUUUAGGCAACUUUCAUUAGCAGCAAGACAAGGCUACUCCUUUAGGGUCCAUUUUAAAUUCACUGAGUAUUUGAAACUCAUAGGUCCUCCUAGCAGCCACAAUCUACAUAGUAAAGGCACCUUUAUCAACUUCCUAUGCACCCAUGAAGGAAGAGAAAGACUGACCAAAAUAGUCCCAUAUGCUUGUUAGCCAAUAAAAACACAAAUGCAAGUUACUGAUUGCUAUUUUCCCUAGUGUGAAACAAACAGUUGUUGCAAGUUGCCUUAGUCUGACUUUCUGGAAGGAGGAGCAGUCUGACUACAAGGAAUUCUCAAAUGAGCUCCCAAAAGUUGGAGAAAAGUUUAAGGGGAGUUUAACUCACUAGCAGAAAGAAAAAAAUCUAAUUAAAGUUCAAGCCGUUUACAUACCCAAAAAUCAUCAUAUACCAUUUCAUAAGUCCACAGUCACAGUCAAUGCUCUAAAGUCCAUAACCUAUCGAAAAAGGCAUUUUUCUCCCCUAUACACAUAAAUGAUGAAGACCAUGCCUAGGAGGAGGAGAGAAGGUUCAGGUAGUUUUCAAUCUAUCAAAGAUUUGUUUUUUAUGUCUGACAUAGGAUCCUAUCUUACUAGUAGAGAAAGCAGUCCAAACCUGUAGCUCAACUCUUAAUGGAGGCUUAAGAAAGGGCUCUGGUGCCAUCAUUACAGAUCACCCUGAGACAGAGGAUAUCUGACUACCAUUGACAGAGUUCCCCUUUCACCUCACUGAGGAGUCCAGAUAGAGAAGAGAUGGGGAGAUUUUCUGCUGAUUACCCAGAUGCAGCCUGCUGCACCUUUGUUGAGGUGACCUUUUGCUCAUCCAGUUGUCUUCAGUCCUCAGCAAGCCAAGAGGCCUUUUCUCUGCUGCUCACCACUGAGCCAAUUCCUGGGUUCAGAUUGGUGGCCUUCUGGAUCCCUGAGCUGACCUUUUGUCUGGGCGGGGUUCUUGCUGGGGCCUGUGCACACUUGGGAUGGUAUCUGGGUGGUCCUCUGGCGUUGCUUGUGCACCUGUGCAGCUCUUUUCCAGGUGGGCCUUUGGCUGGGACUUAUGAGCCCAAGCUGCUAGGGUCUGGGCAGGGCCCUGGCUGAGACCUGGCCACACCAGUUCAGCUCUGGUCCAUGUGUGCUUCUUUCUGGGAUCUGUGCCCACUUACUGAUGGAAUCUGGGUGAGCAUCUGGCUGUUGCUUGUGCACCUGUGCAGCUCUUUUCAGGGUAGGUUUCUGCCUGGGAUCUGCAUCCCCCCAUGCAGCUCUGGUCUACAUGGGUUUCUUGCUGGGUUCUGUGUGCACUUAUCAAUGGGAUCUGGUGGGUCUCUGGCUGUUGCUUGUGUGCUUGUGCAGCUCUUUUCAGUGUGGGGCCCUAUCUGGGAUUUGCAUGCCCCCGUGCAGCUCUGGUCCAGGCAAGCUUCUCUACUUCUUUCCAUUCUUGAUCAGAGGGAGCGAGUGCCUCUUAUCUUCAUUGUCCUUGUAAGUGAACACUCAUUUUCUCGGUCCUUACCUCAAGAGUUUUUAGUUACUGGAAAGGAGAAAAGAUCUUAAAGCUACAAAAGUUGUAGACAAAGGAGAGAGACCAACCUUAGGAAGGAACUGAUGUGCUUAAAGAAAAUUCCACCAAAAAAAGUGCUACCAUGACUUUUUUUGCCAUAUGAUCUAGAAAUUCAGGGCCCAGCCCCAAACCACUGCAGCAGCCAACUGAAGCCCCAGUGCAAGGGGCAAGGCCGGUUGCUCCCUCCCCAGUCUCAGAGAUAUGCAGUCCCUGAAUUGGGUCCCUUGUCACCCACCCACAGGGGCCAACCUGGAGGCUUGGCCAUCACUAAUCUGUGGCCAAAGACUACAAACCUGGGUAUAGACCCUGUCCUGCAUUGUUUUUUGAUUUCCCAGUCAGGGAUCCAAAAUAUGUUGUAUCUUGGGGGUGAGGUGGGGGAGGUAUGCACUGCUGCUCUGCUAGAACAGUCAACUAACCAGGAUCAUAAACUCAGCACCAAUGACUAAUUAAAGGAGCAAAGUUUAACAUAAAGAUGAUUUAUUCAAUAAAAAAGGGUGUUAUGGCUUGUGUCUAGAUGUCCCCCCAAAGCCUCAUGCAGUCAUAGGUGGGGUUUUAUCAGAGGUGGCUAAAUCUAGAAUGUGUGAUGCUGGGAUUAAGGGUGUGUGAUUACUAAAUCAGUCCACUGAUUGGUUUGGCACCCACCCUAAGCCCAGUAUUCUACAUAGAAUAUAAAAGGGACAGAAAGAAGCUGCUAAGGUUGCUUGGACUUGGUUAUUCACUGCUUUGUUGCUUUGCUGCAUUCUGCCUGUCAUGAACUGUUUCUUCUCUGUGGUGUCCAUCUGCGAGGCCAUCCUGCCUUGGAUCCAGUCAGUUAUGGACUAAAACCUCUACAAAAUGUAAGCCAAAAUAAACUUUUCCUCCUUUAACUUUGAGUAUUGGGUAUUUUGUCUCAGCAAUUAGAAAAGCAAUUAAGACAGGAGGAAAGGAAAAGAGUAGGGGGCAACAGAAAGAAUAAGAAUUUUUAGGUGACUACCCUUUGUCUCCUUUACAUAUUACUCCAGGUAUAUGAGGGAUGUGAGUUACCUUGUUCUUUCAUGUUUCUGGUUUCAUCUCUGCCUUGUCUGAUAAAUUCUUAUGUUAAUGAUAAAUUUUUAUAUCCUGACAAAUUCUUAUGUUAAUUUCUGGGCCUGAUUUCUCUCCCUUUUUUGCUUUUGUCUUU